CCUUUUGCAGAUUCAACAUUACAUAGCUUUUUAUAAAUUCAGCUGAAUAUCAGAAGCUUUACGCAGAAUUGCCUUGGAGUAGGCAAGCAUCGAAAAGGUUUCCCUGCAAAAACUGAAUCUCAUCUGAACAUUUAAACACUUAAAAAAAAAUUAUUUAGUAUCAUCCUGAAGAAACUCUUAUAGCCUUUGAAUUUGAAAAUAAUGACAAAGUGAAGACUCUAAAGGGACAAUGAAAAGAAUGCAUCAGUCUUGCUCAGUUCAAGGUUUCUGCCGUCUGUGGAACAUGGAAUCAAACCAGAAUAUGUUGGCACAACAGCCCAGUCAGACCGGUUCUUCUGUAGAUCCAGAACCCGUCCAACCAGUCUGCAUCAAAGGCUAGCCCAACAAGCUGCAGCGGCUCAGCUCUGCUAAGCUCGUACAGGUGUCCACACUUUCUCUGAAGAAUGGAUCUCCCCUUCGAAAGCUUGAGCAUUAUCUGCUCUUUGUUUGAAAAUAAACGCAUUGUUCGUGUGUGGA
This is a long non-coding RNA of Bubalus bubalis (water buffalo), 516 nucleotides long. RefSeq lists it as uncharacterized. NCBI's taxonomy places the organism in Eukaryota, Metazoa, Chordata, Mammalia, Artiodactyla, Bovidae. The transcript has 3 exons. The record is from RefSeq and is a predicted model, not a curated record.